CUGUCAAAGUUUUAUAUUUCUGAUGCACUCUUUACAACCUUUCAUUUAAACUUAAAGGGGCACUAGCUGUCAAAUUCAUGGUCACCAAUUUGACUCAAAUUCUCAUAUUUGAUUUAUAACAAUGUAAAACAUUUAUCUAAACUAUCAAAAGUCUAAAAUAAACAGUUUACAGAGCAUGGGGUAAAUAAUAUAUAGGUUCGUUUCGUGUGUAUUUUAGUCAAGACGCCAUCUAAUUAACUAUCGAUUUGACCUCAGAUGACCAUAUAAGCGAUGUAAAAAUAAAUAAAGAUAUGAAUAGAUUAAACCAACACGUGCAAUUGGAUUUUUAUAGGUCUGUUUGAUUUGAUUUUAUAGAUUAAAAAUAGAUGCUUCUCAUUGCUUUUAACUGUAUAAGAAUGAUUUUAUGUGCGUCGAAUUAGUAAUCAAAUGAUUUACCGUAGUUUCACUUUCAUUGUUGACAUUCUUUUUCUUUAAAUAACCAGUACAUGUACAAUGCAUGCGUUGUCAAUCUCUAGCUAGGGGUUAAAUUGAAGUUCAC
This 538-nucleotide long non-coding RNA is filed under the name Mytilus galloprovincialis (Mediterranean mussel). Lineage: Eukaryota; Metazoa; Mollusca; Bivalvia; Mytilida; Mytilidae. The record is from RNAcentral.